CAGGUACUCCCUCCGUCCAAAAAAGCUUGUCCCUCAAAUGGAUGUAUCUAGCACUACUUGUCCCUCAAAUGAAUGUAUCUAGCAUCAAGUUAGUGCUAGAUACAUCCAUUUGAGGGACAAGCUUUUUCGAACGGAGGGAGUAUGAU
Molecule: non-coding RNA, 146 nt
Organism: Triticum aestivum (bread wheat)
Lineage: Eukaryota; Viridiplantae; Streptophyta; Magnoliopsida; Poales; Poaceae
Source: Rfam